AUGACGAGUACUCAGAGAAGAGAGACCGCCGAGAGCAUGCUGAAGACGUAUAUACCACCUGCAUGCCUGAUGCAUAUGUUCGUGAAGCAUUACAUGUGGCUGCAGUUUGACCAGGACGCAGAAGAAAUAUACGAAGAGAAACGUACCAAGAUUGAUGGCGUCGUGAUGAGGGCUAACCUAUCAAUUGAGCGUCAUGCUAGCAAGAUAUAUACUCGUGCGAUGUUCAAACAGUUUGGCCAAAUCCUCUAUGAAGCAGGAGCUUACGAAGUGGAGGAGAUUGAGAAGAACAGGGUGAUGGAUUAUGUAGGAAUCAAGGAGAUCCCCAAGAAGCACAUCGUGAAGAGGUGGACGAGAGACGCGCGAGAUGCGGUGCAACAGGCUCCAACCUUGUACAGCGAAGCUGUCGAACUAGUCAGUCUUGCAACUACUAGCGCAGAGGCCCGUGAUAGGUUAAGGGGGAUAUUCAAGGAAGCCAUGGAGAUCAUGGCACCAUACAAAGAAGCAAGAGGUGGCCUAGGGCUCGAGGAUCGGCGAACCUCAGAGAGGCAAAUGGUGAAUGAAAGACCAGCAGGUGAUUGCUCCGGAGACGACGACGAUACAGUGUCGGCAACACAAUACCAACUUGUCAGAGUACCUGCUCAGCCCGGAAGGCCGGCAUGUUGUGAGGAAGCACCGGAUGAGGAGGUGAGCAAACGUGGCAUCUUUUGCAGCAUUUGUCGGGGUCAAGGGCAUAAGAAGACGACCUGUUCGGAGAGGGGUGACCUGCCGAAGCAGCAGAGGAAGCAGGGGAGGUGUAGUAACUGUGGUGUUGCCGGACACCGUAAGACCACUUGCUCUGAGCCCCCUGGAUUUAAAAUCAAUGGUGGUAAAGGGGAAAAUGGCCUAGCCCAUUUUCUAUUCCACACGGCAAGAGACUGCAUUACUAGUACAUGA
Molecule: ribosomal RNA, 933 nt
Filed under: Triticum aestivum (bread wheat)
Lineage: Eukaryota; Viridiplantae; Streptophyta; Magnoliopsida; Poales; Poaceae
Description: partial small subunit ribosomal RNA
Source: RNAcentral